GAUCAUGGCUCAGGAUGAACGCUAGCGGCAGGCCUAAUACAUGCAAGUCGAACGGGAUGGUCGCCUUCGGGCGGCCUGAGAGUGGCGCACGGGUGCGCAACGCGUAUGCAACCAACCCCCGACAGGCGGAUAGCCGGUGGAAACGCCGGAUAAUACGCCAUGGUUCCGGGAGAGGGCAUCCUCUUCUGGAUAAAGCUACGGCGGUCGGGGACGGGCAUGCGUCCCAUUAGAUGGUAGGCGGGGUGACGGCCCACCUAGUCCGCGAUGGUAGGGGAUCUGAGAGGACGGUCCCCCACACUGGUACUGAGACACGGACCAGACUCCUGCGGGAGGCAGCAGUAAGGGAUAUUGGUCAAUGGGGGCAACCCUGAACCAGCCAUGCCCGCGUGAGGGAAUGAGGCCCUACGGGUCGUGAACCUCUUUUAUUCGGGGACAAGGACGCGGUCGCGAACCGUGUUUGAGGGUACCGAAGGAAUAAGCAUCGGCUAACUCCGUGCCAGCCGCUGC
This 507-nucleotide ribosomal RNA is filed under the name uncultured bacterium. RNAcentral's name for it is "bacterial SSU rRNA". It matches the Rfam family "Bacterial small subunit ribosomal RNA", at positions 15 to 518 of the family's 1533-position model. The record is from RNAcentral.